GCCGGUGAUGACAGCAAAGUGGAAACACCUGAUCCCAUUCCGAACUCAGCAGUUAAGCACUUUUGCGCCGAUGGUACUACCGAAAGGUGGGAGAGUAGGUCGUUGCCGGUU
RNAcentral lists this ribosomal RNA (111 nucleotides) under Candidatus Haliotispira prima. Lineage: Bacteria; Pseudomonadati; Spirochaetota; Spirochaetia; Spirochaetales; Spirochaetaceae. The record is from RNAcentral.